RNAcentral lists this long non-coding RNA (546 nucleotides) under Citrus sinensis (sweet orange). RNAcentral describes it as "long non-coding RNA (CSIN_LNC005237)". The record is from RNAcentral. Lineage: Eukaryota; Viridiplantae; Streptophyta; Magnoliopsida; Sapindales; Rutaceae.
UUAUUAAAAUAAGAUAAAAAUAUAGCAAGAAAACCAGCCAAACUAAAAUUACAAAAGCUAGCUGAAGAGAUAGCUAGGCAGCCUAAAAACAUCCUCAUGCAAAAGAGAAGCAACAUGAGGGGUGCAGAGUCCCACCAAGUAAAGGAAUCCACUAUGGCACCUAAAUUGCUCAAACAAUUAGCUACCCAUCAGCCUCCCUGAAGACACGAGAAAAGCGCAACAUCAUGGAAUCCAUGAGAGCAAUACAAUUAUUCCAUCGAUGAAUAAGAAACCAUGGGCGGAAGCUGCUUGUUACGAAGAUGAAGCACAGUUAAAGCAGAUUCACAUUUGAUCCACGACAUAGUCCAACAUCCAAAAGAAGCAUGCUCAAUCGCCAAGAUAACAGCCAACAGUUCAGCAACAAAAGCCGUUUCAACAUGUAAUGGACAAGAGAAAUCCCCCAGAAAUUCUCCCUCACAGUUUCUGAACACAGCCCCACAAGCGAAAACAUGCAAAGAACCUUCAGCGAUUUUUGACUAUAAACGUAAGCAGAUUUUUAAUUUUAAU